AGGUGGGGAAUUGCUUCAGUCAUUAUCAGCUGAUUUUGAUUCGGAAUCAGUUCAAUACGUUGAUACAUUACACAAAUCACUAAUCGAUCAAGAGAUUCAGUUAACAUCAUUACUGACAACAAGAAGACACGAACUAAAGAAUCACCAAAAGUUGAUCAGCGUACAUCAGGCGAAUGAAGAGGUGUUGCUAUGGAUACGGGAACAAGGUCUCCCUCAUUUAACUGCCUAUUGCUCCCUGAGAUUCAGUGUCUCCUCAAUCAA
This is a long non-coding RNA of Amphimedon queenslandica, 261 nucleotides long. RefSeq lists it as uncharacterized. NCBI's taxonomy places the organism in Eukaryota, Metazoa, Porifera, Demospongiae, Haplosclerida, Niphatidae. The transcript has 2 exons. The record is from RefSeq and is a predicted model, not a curated record.